This 5212-nucleotide long non-coding RNA is filed under the name Sus scrofa (pig). Its description in RNAcentral is "lncRNA (ENSSSCG00065065374.1)". Lineage: Eukaryota; Metazoa; Chordata; Mammalia; Artiodactyla; Suidae. The record is from RNAcentral.
UUUUUUUUUUUUUUUUUUUUUUUUUUUAGCAUCGACCUUUGUCAAAGAAACAUUGUUUGGCUUUUAUUCAAUGGUAAAGACAACUCAUAAUCUUAAAGCUUUUAGCAACAUCCACGGAUGGAAUAGUGAUCUAGAAGAGCGAUAUCGAAUAGGACGUCUGUGCUGUCCAAGAUGUGGCCACAGGCACUUGGAACGUAGCUGGUGUGACCAAAUAACGGAAUUUUAUUUAUUUUUAAAAAAUUUCAUUACAGUAUUGUUGAUUUACAGUGUUGUGUCAAUUUCUGCAGUACAGCAUAGUGACCCAGUAUAUAUAUAUAUUCUUUUUCUCAUAUUAUCUUCCAUCAUGUUCUGUCCCAAGAGACUGGUUAUAGUUCCCUGUGCUGUACAGUAAGACCUCAUUGUUUAUCUAUUCUAAAUGCAAUAUUUUGCUUUUACCAACCCCAAACUCCCAGUCCAUCCCAGUUCCUCCCCCCCACACCCCUGGCAACCACAAGUCUGUUCUCUAUGUCUGUGAGUCUGUUUCUGUCUUGUAGAUAAGUUCAUUUCUGCUAUAUUUUAGAUUCCACACAGAAGUGAUAUCAUAUGGUAUUUGUCUUUCUCUUUCUGACUUAUUUCACUGAGUAUGAGAAUCUCUAUGCCCAGGAGUGGGAUUGCUGGAUCACAUGGUAGUUCUAUAUUUAGUUUUCUGAGGAACCUCCAUACUGUUUUCCACAGAGGUUGUAGCAAUUUACAUUUCCCCCAACAGUGAAGGAGGGUUCUUUCUUGAAUUUUAAAAUGUAUUUUAUUUUUAUUUAUUUGAAUUUAAAAUUUUGGUAGCCAUAUAUGGCAGCUCAAAUCCAGAAUGUGCUUAAAUGCUCUUUUAGACUGUCAUCUAAAGGAAAACACAAAAUUUAAAUGAAAAUUUCAUCUUUGGAGAAUGGUGGUCUAGAUGACGUCUGGAUUCAGUCAUUCUCUACAUUUGCUCUCAUUUUGCUCAUCCCACGAUGACUUUGAUGACUAACCCUUGACAUGUGAGAAGGGUUCCUGGGAAAGGAUUAGACCUCUCAUCCACCUAUCAGUAAGAGAUUGAUCCUCUGUGUGUGCCAAACCAGUUUCUAAAGCUCAAAGACUAAGGUUGAGACCCUGGACCUGAUGCAUUUCCUAAGGGUACCCCACUGAGGGCCACCAACUGGGUGGGUACCCUCUGAUGUCACCUCAUCCACACUGUCUGUGACUUUCCUUUCAAAGGUCAAUGGUAUUCACAUAACUUAAAGAGCGGCACAGGGUAUUGAAUGGUCAUUUUAGGCCAGAGACAUGCUAGGUGUUUACUGUGUCUCAUUUGAUCUCAUUCAACUUUGCAUGAGCAGAAUUUUCAUCCUUGUUUUACACUUGAGUAAACUGAGCCGCUCCUUGCAGGUUUCACAGCUAGAAUGGGGGCACUUGGCCUUGAACUCAGGACACUGGUUUUCAAAGAUCCUGUCUCUGUAGCUGGGCUUGAAGUAGCCUGAUGAAGAGCAGGCAAUGGAGCUUGACUCACUUGUGCUGAAGUCAAAGGGUUCUUCUUAAGCAGCAAGAUGUGAACUCAGGUAAUUCUUCCAAAGCAUGCAUCUCCUGGGCUUUUGGCUUCCACCUUAAGGAGUGUAUGUCUCAAAUGAAAUUCCCUUCUGAGUUUUCUUGUUGAGCAGUAUUACCGUCUUGGAGAGAUUUGCCAAAAGAUGCUUGUUCCUGCUGGGAUUUGGUCUACAAAGGAAGCCUUUGUUGUUCACAGAGACUCUCCAGGCUCAGGACCCAGAGCAGCCAAGUCCUGUUCUGGAUGAUCUAAGUGAGCGGAAGCCACUCUCUCCACACACAGGUGACAGUCACGUGCAGGCUUUGCUCAGCUGUCGGAAUGCCAGAGCAAAGAUGGUGCCUUGUGUAGCUGUCCAAUAAAAGAGACACAAGGCAGAUAUUUGGUUUGACUAGAGAUUAGGGAACAAAGCAUGUGCCGUUUUCCCAGCAGUACAGACCAGGAAUGGUGGGUGGGUUGCUGACAAUAAGCAGAGGAUGCUGUUGAGAAGAGGCAGCCCCAGAGCAUCAUGUGUGAUGUCUUUGCUUGGAAGACACACUCAUGUUACCUUGGCCUUCGGUCUGGGAGAACCCUUCCUCUGACACCCUGUGUAUGAUCACACUCCUUUGAGCUUCCUCCGAACAGAUUCUGGGUGGUGCCCUCGGAAGUGUGUCUGCCUCAGAUUUGACUCAACAGCCGUUUGGGAUCUGAGUGGAAUUUUCUGCUUGCCAAGGAGCCCUCUGUAGCAGAGUGGAACGUGGUGGGAGAGCAUGGACUUUGCAGUUGGGCAGAGCCAGUGUCCAACCUGUCAGUAGCCCAGCUUAGACACUAUUUUGGAAGGGUCAUUUCUGAAUGGACCUCUGGGGAGGGGGGACUUUGAUGUCAGCCACAUACAGUUCUCAUCCACUCCUCACCAUUCCACAUAUUGCUGGGGGGUCACGUGACCAGUCCUGGCGAAUGGCCUGUAAGCACAGUAGAGGUGUGUCACCUCUGGGCUAAAGCAUUUAACUGCCAGCGUGAGACACUCCCGCUCUCAUUUCCGCCACUGUGCCUAUGCUGGCAGCACCACGAGGGGUGAGGAUUCCACGAGACUGAAGCAGGAUGAAUCUCUGUGCCACCACAGGAGGCCAUCUGCUCUGGAGUCUUCUGAGUCCACAGUGGGGUUUAUGGGAUAAAAAAAAAAACAAAAAACCUAGAAAACUAAUGAAGUAUGAGGAUUUCUGUAACCAAAGUAUAAUUUUGCCAGUUUCAAUGAACAACAUCUUUUUUCUUUUCUGUACGGAGAGAUUACUAAAAAAAAGGCCAGGUGUUGUGUCCUGCCACGUGCCCAGGCUGGUCUGGUGUCCUGAAUGGACACAAUCUCUUUCAGCCUCAGCAUUACUUUGCAAGUCUUGGGUGUUUUUAUUUGGAGAUGAAAAAAAAGACAAAGUUCGAUAAUCACGUGAUGGACAUUCUCCUCCUGGUGUGCCCAACGCCCCAGUCCGAGGUGGGAAAGUAGCCACCUCAACAUGUGGAGGCAGGCAUUCUAAGUAAGAAAACAUUCAGGCCACCCUUGGAGAACCUGUUCUAAUAUCUCAAAUCUGCAUCCAUCAGCAGCUCCACACAGAUUUUCUCUGAGCUGCUAUGCUCUUCCCCCAGAUAUCCCAGGACAACUCACUCCCUGGGCACUUUCAGGUCUUGCUUUCUCAGUGAAACCUGUCCUGACCAUCUCACUGAGUCACGGUCACUGCCCCUACCCACCACGGCCACUCCAGUAGUUCCAUACUCUGUGCUGUUUUUCCCACAGCACUUGUCACUCUCUAAUAGUGUAUCAUUUACUUCUUUAUUAAUAUCGUUCACUUUCCUUAUGUACUGUCUGACUCUCCCAUUAGAACACAAGCUUCACCAUGGAUUAUUUUGUUCAGAGAUCUUUUCCCAGCACCUAGAACAAUUUCUGGCUUGUAAUAGAUGUUCAACGAGUAUUUCUGGAAAGGAAGACAAAAGGCAAGGAAGGAAGAGAAAGAGAGGGGAAGAAAGAACUCUUAUGUUCAAUUCUGUGAACAUGCUGUGAAUGAAUUGUGGGCAAAGGAUGUUGCCUGUCAUCCCAGGGAACAAAGGAUGUGACAGCCAUCAUGCCAGCAGCCCCUGCAGCCCUUGCACACUGAGGGGACUUGGGAUGGGGAAAAUCAGGGUACUGGCCCUGCCCAGUGAAGGUGCAUAUCAAAGGAAUGAUUUCGAUGAGCCCAGCCUCCUGCAUCUUCUCAUACAUAGCAAAGGCUAAAUGCAUUGACUUGAAAUGUUUGGUUUUCUUUAAUUAACAGUCAUCUUUUGAUGUUCUAUUUGGUCUUUGUUGCAAAACUGGCUCCUCCCAUACGUCUUCAGAGCAGUUCCUCAGAGCCACCGGAGAGGCUGUCUCCUGGGAUUAAGUCCCCAGUAAGCCUGCCAAAUAAAACAUAAUUCUCCACUUUUAGGUUGUGCAUAUAUAUAUUUUUUUUCAGUCAACAGGAUGAAUGAAUGAAGUGGAAAUCCAGGCUCUUCACAUUGCUAGAACCCAUACUCGUAACCCCCAGAUCUUAGAGAUAAUUUAGGAAAUCCUUUGGGAUUAUGCCUCAUGCCUCACUAGUAGCAAGACGGAAUAAAGUGAUAGACUAGUGACAAGACAGAAUAAAGGGGUGUUUCUGUGCUGUCUGUGUCUUAUUUUACUUACUUAUUGAUUUAUUAUCAAAGGGAACAUGUUGGAAGUGGAUGAAAAAAAUUCCUGCAGAUGCAAAGGCCCUCGUGGGUAGGCUGGAGCCCAGUGGUGUCUGUUCUCUUUCUUCUCCUCCUUCCCACUCCCACCUCCUGGCUCAAUGGUGCCUCUGGGCAGGGGACCUGCAUUCCAAAGGGGUUCUGGCCUCUUUAGGUGCGAAUGCCUUUGAAGACGGAUCAUGAGACAAGUUGAGUCUUGGGUGUGAAGAGCCACGGCUAAAUGCCUGUCAGAAUGAAGUUGCCUGCACACUGCAGCGUGAAGCAGCUUGGAGAAGUGAGGGCAUGCCACUGCCACCAGAGCCAGUCUCCUUGACCUCCCUCCCUGUUCAUCUCCCUCCACCUCCCAAGGGCAACUUUGCUCCAGAGCCAGGUGUCUGCUGGUGGGUGUCAGGGCGCCUUCUCAUCCGUUGUUGGCAGUUACCAUGCAGCUGUAAAUGAUGGGAACAAAGACCCUUCAGAAAGAACUUGCUCAAGUCCUGUGUCCUCAUUAGACCUGAAUUUUGAAGAUCUUUAGAUUCUUGAUAUUUAUCUUGAUUAUUUCUGUACAUCCUUCCUCCAGACUCAUUCUUUUAUUUUAGUUCUCAGUCCUCAUCUGUGCGUUAGUUUGUUACUCUGUUUUCUAAGUCAUUCAUUUAAAAAAUAGGUAAGCAUAGCUACCAAGGGCAGGAGUUAUGGUAGGCACUGUGGGAGGUGCAAAGAUGAAUUAGGGGAGUUCUUAUUGUGGCUCUGUGGGUUAAGAACCCCUCAUAGUGUCCAUGAGGUUGCGGGUUCGAUCCCUGGUCUGGCUCAGUGGGUUAAGGAUCUGGCAUUGCCAUAAGCUGCAGCAUAGGUUACAGAUGCAGCUCAGAUCUGGCUUAGAUCUGUGGCUGUAGCAUAGGCUGGCAGCUGCCUGGGAUUCAACCCCUAGCCUGGGAACUUCCAUAUGCUGUAGGUGUGGCCAUAAAAAGAAAAAAAAAAAAA